RNAcentral lists this ribosomal RNA (253 nucleotides) under uncultured prokaryote. Its description in RNAcentral is "partial 16S ribosomal RNA". It matches the Rfam family "Bacterial small subunit ribosomal RNA", at positions 524 to 776 of the family's 1533-position model. The record is from RNAcentral.
AACGUAGGACGCAAGCGUUAUCCGGAAUUACUGGGCGUAAAGCGCGUGUAGGCGGUCUGAUAAGUCAUUGUUGAAAGCGCCUGGCUAAACUGGGCGAGGAAUGGUGAUACUGUUGGGCUAGAGUGAUGAAGAGGGAUAUAGAAUUCCGGGUGUAGUGGUGAAAUGCGUAGAGAUCCGGAGGAAUCCCAGAGGCGAAGGCGAUAUCCUGGUCAUCAACUGACGCUGAGACGCGAAAGCAUGGGGAGCGAACGGG